This 625-nucleotide ribosomal RNA is filed under the name Amphinema aff. byssoides UC2023240. RNAcentral describes it as "eukaryotic LSU rRNA". The stretch from base 240 to 394 matches the Rfam family "5.8S ribosomal RNA". Lineage: Eukaryota; Fungi; Basidiomycota; Agaricomycetes; Atheliales; Atheliaceae. The record is from RNAcentral.
UCUUGGUCAUUUAGAGGAAGUAAAAGUCGUAACAAGGUUUCCGUAGGUGAACCUGCGGAAGGAUCAUUAUCGAAUUAUAAGCGAGGGUUGUAGCUGGCCUCCCUUUCGAGGCAUGUGCACGCCUGAGCUCUUAAAUCCACAACACACCUGUGAACCCACCGUAGGCCUUCGGGCUUAUGUAUCAUAUACUCUGAAUGUGUCAUAGAAUGUUCAUGUUGCCUUAAAACGCAAUCAAAUACAACUUUCAACAACGGAUCUCUUGGCUCUCGCAUCGAUGAAGAACGCAGCGAAAUGCGAUAAGUAAUGUGAAUUGCAGAUUUUCAGUGAAUCAUCGAAUCUUUGAACGCACCUUGCGCUCCUUGGUAUUCCGAGGAGCAUGCCUGUUUGAGUGUCAUUAAAUCCUCAACCCCACCGAUUUGCUUCGGGGGGAUUGGACUUGGAGCGUGCUGGCGAAGGUCGGCUCCUCUUUAAAUGCAUCAGCGGAGAAGAAAGCUCGUCCCAGUGUGAUAAUCCUGUUGCGCUGUGGUGGGGUGAAAAUUCCGCUUCCAACCGUCCUCCGGGACAAGACAUCUCAAUUUGACCUCAAAUCAGGUAGGACUACCCGCUGAACUUAAGCAUAUCAAUA